RNAcentral lists this long non-coding RNA (1230 nucleotides) under Carassius auratus (goldfish). RNAcentral's name for it is "lncRNA (ENSCARG00000004658.1)". Lineage: Eukaryota; Metazoa; Chordata; Actinopteri; Cypriniformes; Cyprinidae. The record is from RNAcentral.
CAAAUUCCUAUUUGGCUAUGGCUAGGAUGCUAUAAGGAAUAUAUUUAUUACCAUCUUCCACCACACGUUAUCUUAUCUAAAUCAUGUACCAGUAGUUUAUUCUCAAAUGUAUAUGGCUAACUAUGAAUCCCUCUUCUUUGUUAAUCUGAGUGCUUUCUGUCUAAUAGGACUUGCUGAGACAGCACUUGAUGGAGAGACUUCUGACCAAACUGCAAUCUGCCAUAAACCAACUACCACUAAAUUUGGAUUAUUUGGAGUUUCUGACACGCCAUGGGCUUAUUCUGUUUGAAUCAUUCUCUGAGCAAACAUUACAGAAGCACUACAAAACCUGUAUGAUGUUAUUAAAAGGGAAAUUAAUGCCAGAUCUAUGCCCAUUGUUGAACAGGAAACAGAGGUUAGUCCAGGUUCUGGUCACCCCAAAAUUGUAAUAGAGAAAAAAAAACUAAAGAAAAUGCUGGACACACAUCUGCCAGUCUCCUGCAUUGCAAAAGUUUUUUCUGUUUCAAGGAGAACAAUUUACAUAAGAAUUCAAGAAUUUGGCUGUAAGAGGAUCAUACAGCACAGAGACUGACCAAGAGCUUGACAACAUGAUUUCAGCCAUUAAAAGUCAGAUGCCAAAUGCUGGUUAUCUAAUGGUUCAAGGCCAUUUGGUGUCAAUGGUCUCCGCAUUCAGUGGUGGAGAAUGAUGGCCUCUAUGCAUCGGGUUGAUGCUGCAGGGAUCUUCUUACGGCUCACAGAACUAGGUUGUGUUGUGCAAAAAAGUUAUUCUGUGCGAGGCCCUCUGUCCUUGGCCCACAUUGACACAAAUCACAAACUGAUCAGGUAGACUCAAAUAUAAUGUUGAUCCAAUUAUUUAGACAGAAUGUUGUGGUCUAGGAGGCAUGUCAUUCAAAUCCCAUACAAACAGCUUUUAGUCAAACUGUCACUUUUUUCCCCUCUUGAACAGAUACAACAUUGUCCUCUUUGGAGGAGUGGACGGCUACUCACGGAAGGUAUUUUUGCAAUGACACAAAACACAUUUGGAGAAGUGGCAGUUUACACUUUAUGUUCGCUACACGGGGAACAGGAAGAGCCAGCUUUAUCUCGGGAAAGAGUGUCCAAACUCAGAGAUAAGUUGUGUUUUCACUCUUGAUAUUUUUGACUGCAUAAAUACUUCUUGCAGUUUAAUUGUUUAAAUAAAGUACAAAUUGCUUUAUAAAUCCAAGUCAACCAAUUAAAAUGUCAUUCUAG